CUUCUGUCCCUGAGGUUUGAUGAAUUUCCUUGCAGACCCUAGGUACACAUUCUGUCAUCUGGAGUAAUUUUAAAACAGGAUUGCCUUUAAAUUACCUGUUCUUGGGCCUGCAUUACUUACUAUACCAUAGUGUUACCCUCACAUUCUUCCAGAGCCACAUCCCCACUUUUCUGAAUGCUGGAGGAAGUUCUGCACAUCCAACAGGAAGAGUAAGGUCAAUGGAACACUAAGCCCAGCCAGGCAGAAAUAAAGAAGAUAAAAUAGUCAUUCUGGAAAGAGACUAUGUAUCAUCCAUGUCCAUUAGUGGAGAAAAGAGUUGGUCUAUCAAAUUCUGCUGAGCUUUUGUACUUUUGCCAAAACGUUUAAUCAUCUCUAUGGACAGCUGAAAGCCAAAUAGAACCAACUAUACAAUCA
Molecule: long non-coding RNA, 414 nt
Filed under: Homo sapiens (human)
Lineage: Eukaryota; Metazoa; Chordata; Mammalia; Primates; Hominidae
Description: HSALNT0125647
Source: RNAcentral